Pseudopipra pipra is the source of this 2038-nucleotide long non-coding RNA. RefSeq lists it as uncharacterized. The record is from RefSeq and is a predicted model, not a curated record. NCBI's taxonomy places the organism in Eukaryota, Metazoa, Chordata, Aves, Passeriformes, Pipridae. The transcript is spliced from 2 exons.
AUAAAUACACACACGUGCACAGAAAUAAAACCUGGAUUAUAAAUAAAAUAAAAUCUUGGGUUAGCAGUCUGAGUGAUGCUCUGGGAAAAAGUGCUGUAGGCACACAUAUCAAAUUUGAUGCAUCUGUUCUUGCAGUGGCUGCCUGGGAGCUCUCCAGAACAAACCCAGCCUCCUGAGCCCGGCUUACAUAAUCCUGCUCAGCAGAGCCGGCCAGGGGGGGAUGCUGCCCGGGGAUUUCCAGUGAGACCCUCGUGUCACCCAAACCUGCUUCUAAACAAGCCCUUCAGCUACUGCUGAGUGUCUGAAACAGUGAGAAUGAAGUUAAUCUACUGCCUUGUCACUGAGAACAAAUCGGGGUUUCACCCACAUUUCGUUAUUUUAUACCACAGAACUCAGCUACCUGGGAAAUAUAUUUAAAAGAGUCAUUUUCAGCAGCUGCAGCAGAGCUCUGGCAGGUGCCGGUCCCUGGGCAGCAGCACCGCUGGGUGACUAAGCAGGAGAGUCCUAAAAGCUUUAUUCGACAGCAGCAGAACAGGCUGGGGGGGCGGUCAGAGCCCGACCUGAACCACGGCGAUCACUUACACGGAUAAUCCUGGAACGCCGCGCUCAGCCCCAUCCCGGAUGGAUCCCGGCGCGGUAUCCAGCUCUCUACAGCUUUCCAAAGGAGAGAAUUCCAUCCUCGGGGGAUUUCGCUGUUGAAUUCGAAGUCUGGGGAAGUCAAAGCAGCAUAAACACCGCACGGCCCAAGAAGAGGCAGCCGGCUGGCACAGAUAUGCCAAAUGCCGGGACGGCACCUCCCGCUGUGCCCCACAUAUCGUACAAAGAACCUCCCCGGCGCUCCAGAUGCCUCCCGUUAUCUGCCCUGCAAGAGCAGCUGCUGCGGCGCCGAUAGCCCGAGUGCUGCCUGCGAGGCAGCGUUAAUGGCACAAAAAACCCGUCCUUGGCUAAAGCGGCGAGGCAGAGAACAAGAUUGUUCCGAAAAGGGCCGGCCCGAUUUCAAUUGUGCCGCGCGCAGGUAACGACUGUAACGCAAAAUAAUCCUCAAUCCGAGCAUCGCCCCCCUGAGCGCAGAGAAUCGCGCCGUGUGUCGGCCACGGGGACGUCGCAACUGAGGUAAAAACCGCUGCGAACGCAGGCGAGGGAGGGGGAAGCUUAAUACUAAAGCAAAUACCUGAAAAGAUUGGAGCAACUGCGCUUGGUUUAACGCUUAAUCAGAUCCAGAAGAGCUCUGACCUACAUACUCGCAGCAUCCCCGGGCUGGGGCUCAGCCGGCUGAGCGGGGGAAGGGGUUUGAACGCGCCGAGCGGGGGGAGCAGCUCCCGGACGCAGCCCUGCCCCGGCUCCACAGCCCCCGAUUCCCUUCCUGGCUGCUUCUCUCAGGCAAAAAUCACGGAGCCUCCCGCCCCUCAGAACACCUCACAUUCCACUUUGACUGAGAAACUGCCUUUUUUUUUUUUUUGCUGCUGCUGCUGGGUGAUUUAGAGACUAUGGAGAUAACACACUGAUUAUUUUUCAAUACUAUGAGCGUGACAUGGGAUUGUCAAGGUCUAAUGACAAUCAGGCUUGAAAGGGCUCAGCUUUGCUCCAUGAAACUGCACAGAACUCAGCCUGGAUUCUCUGAACCAGAGAGAGGUUCCCUCAGCCAGGUACAACCAUGGAAUCUGAACAAAAACCUCAUCUACAUCUAGGGGAGAAUGCUGCAAAAAUCCAAAAAUCCUCUUUCCCCCCCCCCCCCCAGGAAUACAAAAGAUAAGGAACGUUUUUUUUAAAACAAGCAGCCACAUCAACAAGUUUGAAAACAAUUGAAGCGACUGGUUCAGUGUAAAACCAGAAAACAUCAGAAUUAUUCAUGUGAGAGAGAUGGCAGGAAGACACCACUGAGCUCAAAGGCCUGUGCCACUGUUGUUUAAAGCAGUCUUGCAACAAUGCAGUGGCAGAAGAGGAAAAUUCUUGUUCUCAGUACAAAUCUGAAAGAGCCAAUUAUAUGAAAAGCUAAUUACUGCAUUUCCACUUCAUUAAAACUUCUGCUGCAGCAGCA